This 735-nucleotide long non-coding RNA is filed under the name Homo sapiens (human). Its description in RNAcentral is "HSALNT0362949". Lineage: Eukaryota; Metazoa; Chordata; Mammalia; Primates; Hominidae. The record is from RNAcentral.
UUAAGACUUCAACAUAUCUUUUGGGGGGAUACAAUUCAACCCACAAAAGAUGGCAAAUAGCUUUUCUAUCGAUGCGGCCCUGGUGGGUUCUGAGGAUUGAUGGAUGUUGUCUGCCAUGGACUUUGCAGGAAGAAGUGGCCACACAUGUUGCUGUCUGUGCUCCUGCAACAAAUCCAUCUCCUGGCUAUUAAGGCUGACAUAGCCUCUGUGGCCCAUGGGCUCCAGCAGGUGGAGCAGAGAUGCUGUCACCUUGGUCACUGGUUCCUGGCUCCUAGGGCAAGUCAGUGGUUCCUCCAGGAUCAAAAGCGUGCAAAGGAAGCCCGCAACACAGAGGGCAUGUGAGCCAGCACUCUCCCCUUCCCGCUGGGUAGUAACUCGGGCUCCGGUCUCCUUAGCAGCAACAAUCUCCUACGGACUCCAUCUCCUCCUCUCCCGUCUCUACAGACCUCAAGCCCUCUCAGGGCAGCCGCCAGUAGCUUACUGCCAAAUACAUGCUUUUCCAUGUAUUUUCUUACUUGACCUUUCUGUACUUUUUUGCUGAUGGGUGUCAGUCUGAAUGGUUGACCACAUGGGUCUUGGAAUUGGAUGGGUCUGAAUCCCAGCUUUCACAUACCAGCUGUGUGGCUUUGGACAAGUACCUCAAUUUUUCUGAACCUCUGUUUCAUCCUCUGUGAAAUGGGGCUAAUCAGAGUAGCUAUCUAAUAAGGCAACUAAGAUUAAAAUAAGCACGUAACA